RNAcentral lists this unclassified non-coding RNA (341 nucleotides) under Hevea brasiliensis (rubber tree). Lineage: Eukaryota; Viridiplantae; Streptophyta; Magnoliopsida; Malpighiales; Euphorbiaceae. The record is from RNAcentral.
UUAGGUGUUCUAAAACUUGCAUGUAGGAUUGUGGCAAGAAGACCAAUGGCAAGCGCCCAUAGGACAGUCAAUAGACCACAAGAGACAUACCAAAGGAUGAAACUCACAGAAGAGAACAUCAGGACAAAAACCCAACGGGGCCGACCGCAUAUAUGAAUUGCUCUCUUAGCUGAUGGACGUCCACGGAUAACAGGUGUAAGAGGAGGUCUCAGUUUAGCUGCUAAAUGAGGAGAGAAUUGCCUAACAGUUCUUGUCACCUUCUCACUAAAAGUACCUGCAAAGCUGUCAUUCAGAAAUGCAAUGCUAAGUGCUGUUAAAAGAGCUGCCACUAUAGCAAGUGG